CGGGUCCCGACCCUGGUCACUUGCCUCUACCGUCAGCUGGUAGGAUUCCACCUCUUCCCGAUCCACAGGGCCACGGGUUCGGAUCACCCCAGAGCGAGGGUCGAUCUCAAAGACUUCAGAGGGGCUGCCCCCAGACCCCUCCAGCAGGCGAUUGGUGUCAGUAACCAAGAUGGUGAGUGUAGCCAGGGCACUUCGUCGGGGCAUGCCGUGGUCCUGCACCAGUGACUGGGUCCAGGGAGAAGAACUGGUUGGAGCGGCUAUCAAAGAGGGCAUCCAUGGUGUACUCCAGUCGACCUGCCUCACCCUCGUCCGGGUCGAUGGCCCUCAGGGAUGCAACAGGGCAGUGUGAGCUUGCCCUGUGGGGAAAGGUGGCCUCCAAUGCCCAGGAGGCGACAGCUCCAGGGGCAGCCUUCAGGAGCUGGUGGUAGGGGAAUAUGGGCCUCGGAUUCUGGACACCAAACCCUCAGGCCAUCGUGGUGGGGUACCAGGUGGCCAGUCAGCUC
Molecule: long non-coding RNA, 503 nt
Filed under: Homo sapiens (human)
Lineage: Eukaryota; Metazoa; Chordata; Mammalia; Primates; Hominidae
Description: HSALNT0012198
Source: RNAcentral